ACACAUCAGCGAUACCUUAUUUCAUUUCUCUGUAUUUCACAUAUUCUUCCCAUACGCCGGUACAACCAAUGCCACGUAUGGGGCCUGUCAACACGCCGGAUAACCUACGCCACGUGCGACCAUGUCAUACUAUCAUUAUAUCUCCCCAUACGCCGGUACAACCAACGCCACGUAUGGGGCAUGUCUCAAAGCCGGAUAACCUACACCACUCGAGACCUGCACAUCAUAUCACAUAACUCCCCAUACGCCGGUACAACCAACGCCACGUAUGGGGCCUGUCCCAACGUCGGAUAACCUACACCACGCGGGACCUCAACAUCAUAUCACAAAUCUCCCCAUACGUGGCCAUACGCCGGUACAACCAACGCCACGUAUGGGGUCUGUCGACACGCCGGAUAACCUACACCACGUGCGACCUCAACACAAUAUCAC
Molecule: long non-coding RNA, 432 nt
Filed under: Prunus persica (peach)
Lineage: Eukaryota; Viridiplantae; Streptophyta; Magnoliopsida; Rosales; Rosaceae
Description: long non-coding RNA (PPER_LNC006969)
Source: RNAcentral